AACGAACGCUGGCGGCAUGCCUAACACAUGCAAGUCGAACGAUUGCCUUCGGGUGAUAGUGGCGCACGGGUGCGUAACGCGUGGGAAUCUGCCCUUAGGUUCGGAAUAACAGCUGGAAACGGCUGCUAAUACCGGAGGAUAUCGCGAGAUCAAAGAUUUAUCGCCUUAGGAUGAGCCCGCGUUGGAUUAGGGAGUGGGUGGGGUAAAGGCCUACCAAGCCGACGAUGCAUAGCUGGUCUGAGAGGAUGAUCAGCCACACUGGGACUGAGACACGGCCCAGACUCCUACGGGAGGCAGCAGUGGGGAAUAUUGGACAAUGGGCGCAAGCCUGAUACAGCAAUGCCGGGUGAGUGAUGAAGGCCCUAGGGUUGUAAAGCUCUUUUACCCGGGAAGAUAAUGACUGUACCGGGAGAAUAAGCCCCGGCUAACUACGUG
Molecule: ribosomal RNA, 435 nt
Filed under: uncultured bacterium
Lineage: Bacteria
Description: partial 16S ribosomal RNA
Rfam family: Bacterial small subunit ribosomal RNA
Source: RNAcentral